GCCUACGGGGGGCAGCAGUGGGGAAUAUUGCACAAUGGGCGAAAGCCUGAUGCAGCAACGCCGCGUGAAGGAAGAAGGGUUUCGGCUCGUAAACUUCUAUCCACAGGGACGAAAGAAAUGACGGUACCUGAAUAAGAAGCCCCGGCUAACUACGUGCCAGCAGCCGCGGUAAUACGGAGGGGGGAAGCGGUAUCCGGAAUUACUGGGUGGAAAGGGGGAGUAGGCGGGAUGGUAAGCCAGAUGGGAAAGCCUUGGGGUUAACCCAAGGAUUGCAUUUGGAACUAUCAAGCUAGAGUA
RNAcentral lists this ribosomal RNA (297 nucleotides) under uncultured bacterium. Its description in RNAcentral is "partial 16S ribosomal RNA". It matches the Rfam family "Bacterial small subunit ribosomal RNA", at positions 337 to 648 of the family's 1533-position model. The record is from RNAcentral.